GGGUUCUCGUACGAUCACCGAAGUUAAGCAACGUCGAGUGGUGGUCAGUACCUAGAUGGGUGACCGCUUGGGAAUACCAGGUACUGCCU
This is a non-coding RNA of Acanthosepion pharaonis, 89 nucleotides long. Lineage: Eukaryota; Metazoa; Mollusca; Cephalopoda; Sepiida; Sepiidae. The record is from the annotation of a GenBank genome assembly.